UACGAGAGGCCCAAACGUUAUUCGGAAUUACUGGGCGUAAAGCGUGCGCAGGCGGUUUUGUAAGCCAGAUGUGAAAUCCCCGGGCUUAACCUUGGAAUUGCACUUGUGACUGUGCGGCUGGAGUGCGGCAGAGGGGGAUGGAAUUCCGCGUGUAGCAGUGAAAUGCGUAGAUAUGCGGAGGAACACCGAUGGCGAAGGCAGUCCCCUGGGCCUGCACUGACGCUCAUGCACGAAAGCGUGGGGAGCAAACAGG
Molecule: ribosomal RNA, 253 nt
Filed under: uncultured bacterium
Lineage: Bacteria
Description: partial 16S ribosomal RNA
Rfam family: Bacterial small subunit ribosomal RNA
Source: RNAcentral